This is a long non-coding RNA of Triticum aestivum (bread wheat), 5193 nucleotides long. RefSeq lists it as uncharacterized. The transcript is spliced from 3 exons. The record is from RefSeq and is a predicted model, not a curated record. NCBI's taxonomy places the organism in Eukaryota, Viridiplantae, Streptophyta, Magnoliopsida, Poales, Poaceae.
UGCCUCAAAAAAUAUAUCUAAUGUCUCUCUUCCUCCCCACAUGAAAAACGGAUCAGGCCAUCGCUCCCGUAGGUCUCCUUCGGACGCCGCGGUUCCCAACCGCAGCAGCAUCCAGCAUCCCCAAUUGCCACUCUUCCUAAUCCUCUUUCUUGAUGAGUCUUAUCUUUGGGACGUUUCUCCCUUCGGUCUUUCAUCCAUGCUGGAAUUGAUCUGAAAAAACUAGUAAUCCAAUAUAUAUUCUCAGGACAGAAUCUGUCCAAUAUGGUUGAUGCAUCAGAGGAGGUGUACCAUGUACCACAACAGUUCCUGAUUUGGAUAAUUUCUACUCCUAAAAUUUAUCUCUAAUACUCUGUCCAGAAGGUUGGUGCUAGCUCUGCAAUUUUGAAAGGCUGAUUUAUGGAAAGUGUGUGUCCACGUAAACUUGGAUUUGUGGUGAUUAUGUAAGGCUGAUGAGGAUGACGGAUGAUAUAGCCUGAUUUAUUUCCAUCCGCUAUGAGGCACUUGAGCCGGGUCGAUGCCUACGCCAUAAUCCGAGCUGCUUAGUGUGUACUUCUCAAUGCCACAGCCGGAACAACCAUGGCCACGUACCUGUUGAGGACAACCUCUCCGCGACUCCAAUGUUUUAUUACGAUCUCUCAACUAGGCAUACAAUAGACCGUGAAGUGUGGCAUCAAGAACCUCAGCACGCUGCAGGAGAAGACCAUGAAGAUCAGCAAGGAAGUGUUGCAUGUGUCAUAAAGGUUGGUCAAGAAGGUGUGAGACUGCUGCUACUUAAAGGUCAGCGUGGCCUGCAACCACAACAAGACACUUGCCAUGCAUGUUCCUUGCAAGCAGCAGCAGCAUGACUUUGUCGUCAAUAACAUAACAAGGACCAAAUCGAUCACCGUCUACAUGUUUUACUACUCUCAGCAGAGUGGAAUAAAUGUUUGUAAAGUAACCUUUUCUCUGGCCGGUUCAAAUCAUCCCUCCUCCGUUUAGUCAUUUACCUAUUGGACGUGCUCGCCAUGUGUUUAAGAUAAUGUUUAGAGAAAUUGCUACACAUGUGUUAUUUUCUUUUCAGAUGAUUCCCGUGAUUUAUACUUUUACAUGUAAAAAAUUAUAUAUAUAUAUAUAUAUAUAUAAGCAACGAAUAUAUCCUUUGAAUCAAUGCACAAGGUCCUGAAUUUAAUUUAGGAUACGGUGAAAUACAUAGUAUAUUAUCCAACAGUAGGUAUUGUUGCACAUAUCGAUAUCUUUUCUAUACAUGCUAUAUGUUAUGCAGAUUUUACUGCUGCAAGUAAAUUAUUGUAUAGAUUCGGUGUACUGAUUAAGUACCAGUACCUUUUGUGUUGUAUGCAGGUUAAAAAAUUUGUGUACUGGCCAUUGUUUUCUUAUAGACCCUCAUCUCUCAAAUUUUCUGCUACAAAUUUGGUGGAGGUAAGUCCAUAGUUCUGUGGAUACGACAUCGGCAUGUCCAGAAUUAUGGGUUUACAUUUUAGUUUUAUUUCUUGCCAACUUACAUGAGAAAACAGUAGAAAGGUCAGUUCAUUUUCCCCUGUUAUGCAUGGAUAUGAUACCUUCUCACGUUCUACUCCUAAAUAGUUAGUGGUUUGGUCCCCUUUUCAUGGUUCCCAGGUUCGUGCUUCUCUUCAUCAUCUAUCUCUUAUCAAGUUCUAGGCGUAAACCUAUCAAAUUUUAUAUCUAACAAGUGUUAUUGCUUUGCUACCAAGGUUGUUCUGACCGUGUCUUGGCCUUGACUUAGAUGAAAAAGAGUCAGUUCUUUGGUGUCAUGCCUAGCUACAGUUGGUUGUUUUGUAAGUUGCAAGGUAUCUCAUAAGGCACAUGAACAGAUAUCCAUGGUAUUAAUUUGGAUCUCCAUGUCGCGGGGUAGAAAGGACAGAAAGGAGCAGCAGGAUAGCCGGUCCAAUAUUGAGCAGAUUCUGUCUUGGGGAUCACUACCUCGGUGCAAGCAUCCUCUUCCCCACGCCUCCUGAUUUGGUCAUGGCGGUUAAGAGGUAUAAUACUAUAAUCAUGCCCGAUUGGAUAAGAAUCCUAUGUUUCAUGCAAUUUCUUUGAGUUGAUUUCCUCUACAGAAGAAUUUACAUGCAGGCUGUCCUCACUAGGAGGGAAAUUUGAUCAUGUGUGCUGUCAGUAGGUCUUCCAAAACUAAUAGUUUUUUGUAUAAAAAAUCAGGAGCUUCAACCGAUUCGCUCACAUGGCAAGCGACUAGCUCUAGCAAGAUGGGUUCUAUUUCAAUUACAGCUUAGAGAUAACGUUUUUUGGAACAAAACGCUUAUGUUAUUUGGAUUGCCGCAGACAGAUGAUUAGGUUGUCUCUUAGUUUUUUUCAAGUUAUAUAAGCGCCUAUUGAAUAGUUCUUUGCAUUGGACCCUUAGUGUAUGUAGCUGUUUUUUUCAUAUUGGCAUUUAAGCACCUAUAUACAAGCACUCUGCAUAUUAUAGAUGGUCUAACAUGAUGUAGUUUUACUGUUGCAAUGAAAUAAAUGAGAAAAUAGCCGUUGUUCGGCAGGAAACCUGGAGUCAGCAUCUAGCACCCUGCAUUGCAAACCAUCGGUUUGUGGUCACUUUGGUAUCCCGAUGGUGAAAAUUGGAGCAUAUAUACUCUCCAGCCAAUCAAAUCAUUUAUAAGUAUGACAUGAACCAUAGAAAGGUAACUGAAUUUGAUCUGACUUUGGUUUAGGUCCAAAUAUAACAACCUUACAUUGGUAAGCGCAUUCGAAAUUGUGAACUAAAAUUAUGCUUAACAUGAGAGGAAAUCAAGUUUUUUGCUACGGUAUGGUUAACAGUAGCAGCAUAUCAAGUAUAACAGUGGACUGCACUAUUGUUUGUUCACCGUGUUGUUCUUCUUUAGUUAAAGAUUUUCUGAACAUUUAUACCUAUCUCUUAAUAGCACUCGCCUAAACACUUUUUUCUUCAUCUAAAAGUGUUAUAUUUUUUACAUAACAGCAUCUUGACGCGGCCAAACAGUGCAGCAAUUAUAUUGUAAUCGUGAUUGCAUAUGUAGCUCUUUUGUUUCCACCCCGAAAUGUCAUUAAACUUAAUUUAAAUUUCAGUUCGAUCUGAAGAGGUUAUGCCCUUUCACUUAGUAUCGACCAGCAUUGGUUCUCAAUGUUUAUGCAUCAUUAGUUUCAUAAGAUACCAGAAUGCAUGUGUGGAGAGAAUAUUAGUUCAGUUGUUAAAAACAACCGUUGUAUUGUUCCUAAAUUUUGUUAGAUUAACUGGUCCGCUACAUUCAUAGAAUGCUAGACUUGAACUAUUUAUAGAUUCCCUUUCUUUGCGCACUUUUAGUCCUACAAGAAGUUCUUUGUUACUACAAAUAAUUGAUUUAUUCCUCAUAUAGAUAUCCUCCUGAAAGAUAUUGAUAGCGGGAGAAAGAAAUUUUAUGUCAGAUAGCUAUUGCUCAUUCCACAUUUUACCACUUUUCAUUUCGUGGCCUUCCUUCAAACACAUAAACUUGAUGCAGUCUGUAGGCACUGUAUGUUGAUCUCACAUUUCUCUUUCCAUUUCUUGGUCUGCAUGAAUUUUACUGGUAUAGUGCAUAUUCGUGAUAGGAACUCUUAGCAUUGAGGAAACACAAAGAGUCAUUUUGUAUGUACAAUCUGUAAUUUACAUGCCUAAAACCACAAAACCAGAAUACAAAUAUAUGGCAUCAAUAUAGGGAGAAUGUAGAUAACACUUACAGAUUCAAUUUUUUUGUUCACGGAAAUAAGGGAUGGACUAGCGGUAGUAAGACCUUCGAGAGGCUUUCGAAACCCCACGGAAAAUAGCAAGUAAUCUUCCCAUGAUAAACAAAAUCCUAAUACUCUCCAAACACACAAAGUUAGCAUUUUGUAUAUCCUAGAGUCAACCACAUUUGAAAUUAUUCACUCCUGUUUCAUGCAAUUUUUAAAAAUGCGAAAUAAAUCAAGACUUUUUUUUCUAAAGCUUCUAAAAAGUAUACUUACAUUAUCGAAUGGCUAUAAUUCCUUUGUAUGUGUACCGUAAUAUAUAUAGGUACAUGGAAAAUUGUGACAUGCCUGCAAUAACAUAUGAUAUUUAUUUAUGUUUGCCCUGCAAUAAAACUAUUUAGUAAAUUCUAAGCCAUCAAGAACUAAUAAUAGUAUAAUAAUAUUGUUAACUAAACAUAUACAAAGUAAAUAUUCAUAAUAUGAUAGCCGUGCGAAUGCACGGGUUGGCGACUAGUAUAUAUAAUGGAGUAAAAAAAUCUCUCCAUAGCAGUGGUUUAAAUAGAAUACGCGCGUUCCUGAAAAAAAAGAAACUAAAACUGGCGGACAAUUUUUUAACGUACCAAGAAAGAAAAGUCAAUCAAAAACUUGAUGCAGUCUGUAGGCACUGUAUGUUGAUCUCACAUUUAUCUUUUCAUUUCCCUUCCUUCAAACACAUAAACUUGAUGCAGUCUGUAGGCACUGUAUGUUGAUCUCACAUUUCUCUUUUCAUUUCUUGGUCUGCAUGAAUUUUACUGGUAUAGUGCAUAUUCGUGAUAGGAACUCUUAGCAUUGAGGAAACACAAAGAGUCAUUUUGUAUGUACAAUCUGUAAUUUACAUGCCUAAAACCACAAAACCAGAAUACAAAUAUAUGGCAUCAAUAUAGGGAGAAUGUAGAUAACACUUACAGAUUCAAUUUUUUUGUUCACGGAAAUAAGGGAUGGACUAGCGGUAGUAAGACCUUCGAGAGGCUUUCGAAACCCCACGGAAAAUAGCAAGUAAUCUUCCCAUGAUAAACAAAAUCCUAAUACUCUCCAAACACACAAAGUUAGCAUUUUGUAUAUCCUAGAGUCAACCACAUUUGAAAUUAUUCACUCCUGUUUCAUGCAAUUUUUACAAAUGCGAAAUAAAUCAAGACUUUUUUUCUAAAGCUUCUAAAAAGUAUACUUACAUUAUCGAAUGGCUAUAAUUCCUUUGUAUGUGUACCGUAAUAUAUAUAUAGGUACAUGGAAAAUUGUGACAUGCCUGCAAUAACAUAUGAUAUUUAUUUAUGUUUGCCCUGCAAUAAAACUAUUUAGUAAAUUCUAAGCCAUCAAGAACUAAUAAUAGUAUAAUAAUAUUGUUAACUAAACAUAUACAAAGUAAAUAUUCAUAAUAUGAUAGCCGUGCGAAUGCACGGGUUGGCGACUAGUAUAUACAAUGGAGUAAAAAAUCUCUCCAUAGCAGUGGUUUUAAAUAGAAUACGCGCGUUCCUGAAAAAAAGAAACUAA